AUGACCGGUCGAAGGGAGUUCUUCGCCGAGCUCGACUCCGACGCGCAAGGCUCCGUCAAGUUUGGGGAUGCCUCCGCUGUGGAAAUUAAGGGCGUCGGCUCCGUCAUCUUCACCACCAAGACGGGAGAGCACCGGCUGCUCACCGGUGUCUACUACAUCCCCGCGCUAAGGAACUCCAUCAUCAGCUUGGGACAGCAGGAUGAGAACGGCUCACGCGUGCUGAUUGAGCAUGGGGUCCUACGCAUCUGGGAUCGCCAGGGUCGCCUUCUCGCCAAGGUACCCAGAGGUGGAAAUCGACUUUACGUCCUUGAUGUGCAGGUGGCACAACCGGUCUGUCUCGCUGUCCGUCGGGACGACGAGGCGUGGCAAUGGCAUGAGCGCUUUGGGCACCUUCAUUUUGAGGCCCUGAAGCGUCUAAGUGCCAAGGAGAUGGUGCGAGGCCUGCCAUGCCUCGACCAUGUGGAGCAGUUCUGCGACAUCUGCGUGAUGACGAAGCAGAGACGACUCCCCUUUCCCCAACAGGCGAGUUUUCGGGCCAAGGAGAGGCUGGAGCUCGUGCACGGAGACCUGGGCGGCCCGGUGACGCCAGCCACACCAGGAGGUCGACGCUACUUCCUGCUGCUCGUCGACGAUCUCUCCCGUUACAUGUGGGUGAUGAUCCUCGGCAGUAAGGGAGAGGCGGCGGACGCCAUCAGGCGCGCGCAGGUUGGUGUGGAGGUGGAGAGCGGCCGCAAAUUGCGCGUGUUGCACACUGACAACGGCGGCGAAUUCACGGCGGCUGAAUUCGCGUCGUACUGCGCUGAUGAGGGCAUCCAGCGCCACUACUCCGCGCCGUACAGCCCGCAGCAAAACGGCGUCGUCGAGCGGCGCAACCAGACGGUUGUGGGGAUGGCUCGGGCUCUCCUCAAGCAGAGAGGGAUGCCGGCUGUCUUCUGGAGAGAGGCGGUGCUAACAGCCAUCUACAUCCUCAACCGCUCGCCUACCAAGGCACUCGACGGCAGGACACCGUACGAGGCCUGGCAUGGGCGGAAGCCGGCGGUCUCCCACUUGCGGGUCUUUGGCUGCCUGCGUUCGCCAAGGAGCUCGGCCACAUCGGCAAGCUCGACGACAGGAGCACUCCGGGAGUCUUCAUCGGCUACGCGGAGGGCUCAAAGGCCUACCGCAUCCUCGACCCAAAGACACAGCGUGUGCGCACGGCGCGAGACGUCGUGUUCAACGAAGGGCGAGGGUGGCAAUGGGACAAGGCGGUGGACGACGGCUCGACGCCGACGUAUGACGACUUCAUUGUCGAGUACGCCCACUUCAAGGAAGCCGGGGGAGCAACCAGCUCCUCUUCGCCGGGCACGCCUACUGAAAGAUCGUGGAUGUCGCCUAGAGGGGGGCUAA
Molecule: ribosomal RNA, 1386 nt
Filed under: Triticum aestivum (bread wheat)
Lineage: Eukaryota; Viridiplantae; Streptophyta; Magnoliopsida; Poales; Poaceae
Description: partial small subunit ribosomal RNA
Source: RNAcentral